GAAUUUAAGGAUAGUUUGGCUCUGGUAUUUGCUACUUAUAGCUCACCAGGGUGGAUUUAGCUGACCUAGCUACCUGGGUUUGUAUCCUCUUCCUCUUUCAUCUCUUUAUCAGAAUUUCUCACAAAGCUGGUACUCAUUCAAAGAAAUGAACUUCCAAGAAAGAAAAUGGAUUUUCUUGGUCUGGUGUAUGAAAAACUGUGCUCUCAUACUAGAAUUAAGUCAAUAUGAAAACAAGUAGACCAACAAGGAGACAAUCUACUAGGGAGGCAG
Molecule: small nuclear RNA, 270 nt
Filed under: Dasypus novemcinctus (nine-banded armadillo)
Lineage: Eukaryota; Metazoa; Chordata; Mammalia; Cingulata; Dasypodidae
Description: 7SK RNA (ENSDNOG00000031460.1)
Rfam family: 7SK RNA
About the family: 7SK was discovered as an abundant small nuclear RNA in the mid-70s but a possible function has only recently been suggested. Two independent studies have found that 7SK RNA binds the CDK9/cyclin T complex (known as elongation factor P-TEFb).
Source: RNAcentral